AGUGAGGUGCCUGAAUAAAGGAUUAUUUUGAUAGAAUAAAUUAUGUGUUUUAUACCCUUACUG
This 63-nucleotide transfer RNA is filed under the name Dryadomorpha sp. EMHAU-2015-Zz060407. RNAcentral describes it as "tRNA-Ile". RNAcentral also lists the same sequence under 1 other name. Lineage: Eukaryota; Metazoa; Arthropoda; Insecta; Hemiptera; Cicadellidae. The record is from RNAcentral.